Non-coding RNA from Camellia sinensis, 1164 nucleotides. The record is from RefSeq and is a predicted model, not a curated record. NCBI's taxonomy places the organism in Eukaryota, Viridiplantae, Streptophyta, Magnoliopsida, Ericales, Theaceae.
CUUUUGCCCUUUUCAUUUGUUGAAUUUUCCAAGCCAUCUCAUGUAUUGAUUUUCUUAGUACUUAUUAUUUUGGACUAUUUUGUAAUUUCAUGGCCCAACUUUGCCUGUCAUAUUAAAGUGUUCAUCACAUGGCCACUACCUUUGUUUGGAACAGAAAGAGCAAAGCAUGUCUCCGUCAUUUUACACUCUUCCUCUCUUUGGCGGGGAUGAUGACCUAGACGACGGUGAGAUCGCCAGCUUUAUUAACAGUGAGACCCAUUACCACUUCUAUUUCGAAUCAAAACCCACAGAAGAUGAGGUCCAAGAAAGAUCUCGACCGAAGAUCUGCAUUGUCAUGGCUUCAGGAUCCUGACUGAAGAUGGGGUACAAGGACGAUCUCCCUUGAAGAUGAACUCUUCUGACAACUUCACCAACAGAAUCACACGAGGUACUUUUGCUAUAAUUCGCCAAUUCUAGGCUGAGAUCGGUGUUCUUUUUUUAAUUUAAUAAUUUGAUUCUUUGUAACUCUGUGCUUUUUUAAUUUCAGAGAAUUUGAUAUUGAAGUAGUUGAUGUUUCUCUUUUAGCUCAACGUAGAAGAACUAUGAAUAUACAUCGGUCUUUUAGAUUUUUGUUUUACUGGCUUCUGUUUUCUCGGCUUCAAGAUUGCUCCAUUAUUUUUUGUAAGAACAACAUAAAUUGGGGAAUGAUACAUAGAUGGAGCAAACAAAACUGAUUUUCUUCUAUCAAGGAAAACUUUCAGUUAAAAGUGCGACCAAAACAAAGCAUAGGUUUACAAAAUUUCUACCAUGAUUCUUCUUCUUCUUCUUCUUUUAAAAAUUCCCACUUCCUCAAGCUUAUAGAUUGAAUCCAGUUCACCUCAUUAUGGAUUUGGAACAUAUGAUAUUGAGAAGGAAAUGACUGUGAGAGAAACCUUGGCAUUUUCAACGAUUUCUUUUAGAACCUUGGGCAGGUCUGGUUUACUGCUUUGUUGAGUGAAGUGAGUACAUGUUGUAGCUGUGUAUAUGCUGCUGCAAUCUGUGUAUAUGUUGUGGGUUGAUGGGUUUUACCUUAUGUAUUGCUUUGGUUUUUGUUGAGGGUUGAGUGACAAUAUGUAGCGCCCCCAAAAUAAUACAAUAAAGAUAACUCAUAUACAGAAUAAAUAUGAGAAACAACAUACUUUCAUA